This 468-nucleotide ribosomal RNA is filed under the name uncultured bacterium. Its description in RNAcentral is "partial 16S ribosomal RNA". It matches the Rfam family "Bacterial small subunit ribosomal RNA", at positions 28 to 507 of the family's 1533-position model. The record is from RNAcentral.
GACGAACGCUGGCGGCGUGCUUAACACAUGCAAGUCGAACGGAAAGGCCCUGCUUUUGUGGGGUGCUCGAGUGGCGAACGGGUGAGUAACACGUGAGUAACCUGCCCUUGACUUUGGGAUAACUUCAGGAAACUGGGGCUAAUACCGUAUAGGAUCUCCUGCUGCAUGGUGGGGGUUGGAAAGUUUCGGCGGUUGGGGAUGGACUCGCGGCUUAUCAGCUUGUUGGUGGGGUAGGGGCUUACCAAGGCUUUGACGGGUAGCCGGCCUGAGAGGGUGACCGGCCACAUUGGGACUGAGAUACGGCCCAGACUCCUACGGGAGGCAGCAGUGGGGAAUAUUGCACAAUGGGCGGAAGCCUGAUGCAGCAACGCCGCGUGCGGGAUGACGGCCUUCGGGUUGUAAACCGCUUUCGCCUGUGACGAAGCGUGAGUGACGGUAAUGGGUAAAGAAGCACCGGCUAACUACGUG